AGCAACGUAAGCUAAAUUCAAGCUUUUGGGCCCAUACCCCAGCUAUGUUGGUGAGAACCCUUCCUUUGCUA
This 71-nucleotide transfer RNA is filed under the name Platycephalus sp. 1 JJX-2020. RNAcentral's name for it is "tRNA-Met". The record is from RNAcentral. RNAcentral also lists the same sequence under 1 other name. Lineage: Eukaryota; Metazoa; Chordata; Actinopteri; Perciformes; Platycephalidae.